RNAcentral lists this ribosomal RNA (399 nucleotides) under Halomonas sp. 15WGF. RNAcentral describes it as "bacterial SSU rRNA". It matches the Rfam family "Bacterial small subunit ribosomal RNA", at positions 1 to 402 of the family's 1533-position model. The record is from RNAcentral. Lineage: Bacteria; Pseudomonadati; Pseudomonadota; Gammaproteobacteria; Oceanospirillales; Halomonadaceae.
UUAAACUGAAGAGUUUGAUCAUGGCUCAGAUUGAACGCUGGCGGCAGGCCUAACACAUGCAAGUCGAGCGGUAACAGAUCCAGCUUGCUGGAUGCUGACGAGCGGCGGACGGGUGAGUAAUGCAUAGGAAUCUGCCCGAUAGUGGGGGAUAACCUGGGGAAACCCAGGCUAAUACCGCAUACGUCCUACGGGAGAAAGGGGGCUCCGGCUCCCGCUAUGGGAUGAGCCUAUGUCGGAUUAGCUAGUUGGUGAGGUAACGGCUCACCAAGGCCACGAUCCGUAGCUGGUCUGAGAGGAUGAUCAGCCACAUCGGGACUGAGACACGGCCCGAACUCCUACGGGAGGCAGCAGUGGGGAAUAUUGGACAAUGGGGGAAACCCUGAUCCAGCCAUGCCGCGU